RNAcentral lists this ribosomal RNA (466 nucleotides) under uncultured bacterium. Its description in RNAcentral is "partial 16S ribosomal RNA". It matches the Rfam family "Bacterial small subunit ribosomal RNA", at positions 28 to 507 of the family's 1533-position model. The record is from RNAcentral.
GACGAACGCUGGCGGCGCGCCUAACACAUGCAAGUCGAACGAGCGAGAGAGAGCUUGCUUUCUUGAGCGAGUGGCGAACGGGUGAGUAACGCGUGAGGAACCUGCCUCAAAGAGGGGGACAACAGUUGGAAACGACUGCUAAUACCGCAUAAGCCCACGACCCGGCAUCGGGUUGAGGGAAAAGGAGCAAUCCGCUUUGAGAUGGCCUCGCGUCCGAUUAGCUAGUUGGUGAGGUAACGGCCCACCAAGGCGACGAUCGGUAGCCGGACUGAGAGGUUGAACGGCCACAUUGGGACUGAGACACGGCCCAGACUCCUACGGGAGGCAGCAGUGGGGAAUAUUGCACAAUGGGGGAAACCCUGAUGCAGCGACGCCGCGUGGAGGAAGAAGGUCUUCGGAUUGUAAACUCCUGUUGUUGAGGAAGAUAAUGGCGGUACUCAACAAGGAAGUGACGGCUAACUACGUG